This 226-nucleotide long non-coding RNA is filed under the name Elaeis guineensis (African oil palm). RNAcentral's name for it is "long non-coding RNA (EGUI_LNC057161)". The record is from RNAcentral. Lineage: Eukaryota; Viridiplantae; Streptophyta; Magnoliopsida; Arecales; Arecaceae.
GCCCAACUCUUGGGUGCCUCCUCCUUCUUUUUCUACCAUGGACCACUAGCAAAGGGCACAGAUAAUGUAUCAUAAAAGUCACAAAAAUCUUAAAAAAAAUAUGGAUAAAAUCAGUACCAUAAGAAAAGAGUUUUGGUUUCUUAAAAUUCUAUCUCAUAGAAUUUGAAAUCCAAACUAAUUCCUUAUUUGACUUGAUCCACAACUACAUUCCAUAUAUGAGAGAGAG